Molecule: ribosomal RNA, 482 nt
Filed under: uncultured bacterium
Lineage: Bacteria
Description: partial 16S ribosomal RNA
Rfam family: Bacterial small subunit ribosomal RNA
Source: RNAcentral
AUUGAACGCUGGCGGCAUGCCUUACACAUGCAAGUCGAACGGUAGCAGGUCUUCGGAUGCUGACGAGUGGCGAACGGGUGAGUAAUACAUCGGAACGUGCCCGAUCGUGGGGGAUAACGGAGCGAAAGCUUUGCUAAUACCGCAUACGAUCUACGGAUGAAAGCAGGGGACCGCAAGGCCUUGCGCGGACGGAGCGGCCGAUGGCAGAUUAGGUAGUUGGUGGGAUAAAAGCUUACCAAGCCGACGAUCUGUAGCUGGUCUGAGAGGACGACCAGCCACACUGGGACUGAGACACGGCCCAGACUCCUACGGGAGGCAGCAGUGGGGAAUUUUGGACAAUGGGCGAAAGCCUGAUCCAGCCAUGCCGCGUGCAGGAUGAAGGCCUUCGGGUUGUAAACUGCUUUUGUACGGAACGAAAAGACUCUUUCUAAUAAAGAGGGUCCAUGACGGUACCGUAAGAAUAAGCACCGGCUAACUACGUG